Molecule: ribosomal RNA, 468 nt
Filed under: uncultured bacterium
Lineage: Bacteria
Description: partial 16S ribosomal RNA
Rfam family: Bacterial small subunit ribosomal RNA
Source: RNAcentral
GACGAACGCUGGCGGCGUGCUUAACACAUGCAAGUCGAACGGAAAGGCCCUGCUUUUGUGGGGUGCUCGAGGGGCGAACGGGUGAGUUACACGUGAGUAACCUGCCCUUGACUUUGGGAUAACUUCAGGAAACUGGGGCUAAUACCGGAUAGGAGCUCCUGCUGCAUGGGGGUGGUUGGAAAGUUUCGGUGGUUGGAGAUGGACUCGGGGCUUAUCAGCUUGUUGGUGGGGUAGUGGCUUAUCAAGGCUUUGACGGGUAGCCGGCCUGAGAGGGGAGCCAGCCACCUUGCGACUGAGGUACGCACCAGUCGCCAAUGUGAGGCAGCGGUGGGGAGUAUUACACAAUGGGCGGAAGCCUGAUGCAGCGACGCCGCGUGCGGGAUGACGGCCAUGGGGUUGUAAACCGCAUUAGCCUGUGACGAAGCGUGAGUGACGGUACUGGGAAAAGAAGCACCGGCUAACUACGUG